CCUUGUCCAUUGACCCAGUCUGAGAGCAGAUGGGAGCUUAUCCACAUCUUACCUGGCAAGACGCCUCCUGAGACAGUCAGGGUCACCAGAAAUCAUGGAGCCCAGGGCAGCUGUGGCAAAGGGUCUGACCCUCUAUCCCACAGCAUGUAAAUGAAGGAAAGGAAGCAGAGCGCUCACCCGUGGGCAGCAGCUGCCCCGUGGUCCUGGCUCACCUUCCCAUUGCUUCUUCUCAGCAUCAAGCCCAGAAUGUGUCAGGCCCUGUCCUGCAUACCUAGACUGCAUCCGUGUAGCACAUCAGCUCUCUCCACCGUAGAAGCUGUCUUAAAUACAGGACCAAAAGUGGAAAGACGAGCCAUGGUCCUGCUGGGUGUGUUGGUGCCCACACUGUAACUCCAGUGCUUAAGACACAGGUAGGAGGGCAGCCCCCAGUUCAUGCCAGUCUGGCUUACACAAGGAGGUCCAGGCCAGCCAGGACAACACAGUGACCCUGCCCCAAAACCGCUAAAAUAACCCUCGGUUGUUUCCUUCAGGUCUUUGCUGGAUAGAGGGGCAUUCACGUUCAUCUGCUUCUUAUGCCUGAAGACGCCUCCCCGUGUUAAGUAGCAGGAGGGAUCAUGUCCAUAGUGUACUGCACUCCAUAGUGUGCUGCACUCACUGUUAGCCUGCUGCAGCCGGCCUGGGGGUAGCGCACACUCAGCAUAGGCAUCAAGCAAGACUCUAGGUUUGCUCUGUAGAAUCACAGUACACACACCGGUGCCGCAGUGGGUACCGGCAGUCCAGAGGCCUUUGUCCUGACUCACGCAUGAACAAGUGCUUAUUGGAAGAGAAGCACACAGAAGCCUUAGGGAGCUCUGCUGGAAGUUGGGCCCAGGUGUGAUGGUGCACACCUUUAACCCCAGCUCUCAGAAGCAUGGGGCAGGCCGAGCUCUGUGAGCUCUGGGACCAACCUGGUACACAGGACAGCCUACUCAGGGAGACCGUCUCAAAAUCAAAAUGGAAGUUGGGCCAGCUUAUGCUUAUGAUGUGAGAAUGUUGUGUCACUCCAUCGUGACUUCUACUUAUUUGUCUGUCUUGUUCAGGCCGACUUUAAGAUUUCUGAUGACUGCGUCGCACAGUGGAAGCAAACCAACUUCAUGACCAAGCUGGGCUUUGUCUCCUGUAAAUCACUAAAAGGGGGCAACAUCAGCUAGCCGCUCGGCUGCUCCCACCAUCCUGUCUGCCGGUCGUUCCACCUCUCACCCGCUCCCAUCUCAGGACACUGAAGCACCGGUCUGGACUGCUGACUAGACGCAGGACUUGGAAAGGGACAGCUCACCUUCCUACCAUGUGGGCUCAUCCCGCCUGGCUGAAAGGAGACGGAGUGCCUGGGCUAAGGAUCUUGCCUUGCAGCAAACAGCUCUACCUUCUUCCCUUGGCAGCUGACUUGAGAAAUCUGGUUUCAAUAGAACCCACAGAAAAAGUUUAUUCCUCGGUCCUUGUAAUUGGAAAAACACUGGUUCCCAAGAUUCCAUGGGGUUUUCCCUGCAGCUGUACCUCUAGCUGAGAUCUGUUGCCUGGUCUGGGCUAAUUACAGCUUCUCCCCGUCAGGAAAUUGUGGGAUUUGAAAAGAAGGGAAAACAGCCUAGAGGUCUCCCAAGCUUCCCAAGGCUGGCAGUGUUCUCCAGGAUUGCCUGCCCUGAGGCUUGGCACCAGAGGCAGGAUUUGCCCCUGCUCUCUUGGGGUUCCCUUGAUCUGGCUAAGUUGGGCACUCCCUAAGCAAACCAGCUGUGUUAGCAGCAGUGUGGGAACGGACUGACACAGUGUGGUGCUUUAUUCAGAAUGCGACUACUCCAUAAGGCAUCUCAAUCAAAUCUCUCACCACCACUGUCAAAUCCAAAUAAAGUGUGUGAACAAGGC
RNAcentral lists this long non-coding RNA (1896 nucleotides) under Rattus norvegicus (Norway rat). Its description in RNAcentral is "long non-coding RNA NONRATT022655". Lineage: Eukaryota; Metazoa; Chordata; Mammalia; Rodentia; Muridae. The record is from RNAcentral.